Molecule: ribosomal RNA, 464 nt
Filed under: Vreelandella stevensii
Lineage: Bacteria; Pseudomonadati; Pseudomonadota; Gammaproteobacteria; Oceanospirillales; Halomonadaceae
Description: partial 16S ribosomal RNA
Rfam family: Bacterial small subunit ribosomal RNA
Source: RNAcentral
CCUACGGGGCGCAGCAGUGGGGAAUAUUGGACGAUGGGCGAAAGCCUGAUCCAGCCAUGCCGCGUGUGUGAAGAAGGCCUUCGGGUUGUAAAGCACUUUCAGUGGGGAAGAAAGCCUUGGGGCUAAUACCCUCGAGGAAGGACAUCACCCACAGAAGAAGCACCGGCUAACUCCGUGCCAGCAGCCGCGGUAAUACGGAGGGUGCGAGCGUUAAUCGGAAUUACUGGGCAUAAAGCGCGCGUAGGCGGUCUGAUAAGCCGGUUGUGAAAGCCCCGGGCUCAACCUGGGAACGGCAUCCGGAACUGUCAGGCUAGAGUGCAGGAGAGGAAGGUAGAAUUCCCGGUGUAGCGGUGAAAUGCGUAGAGAUCGGGAGGAAUACCAGUGGCGAAGGCGGCCUUCUGGACUGACACUGACGCUGAGGUGCGAAAGCGUGGGUAGCAAACAGGAUUAGAUACCGUGUAGUC